RNAcentral lists this transfer RNA (68 nucleotides) under Sus scrofa (pig). RNAcentral's name for it is "tRNA-Ala". Lineage: Eukaryota; Metazoa; Chordata; Mammalia; Artiodactyla; Suidae. The record is from RNAcentral.
UAAGGACUGCAGGACUCAUCCUACAUCAAUUGAAUGCAAAUCAAACACUUUAAUUAAGCUAAAUCCUC